RNAcentral lists this transfer RNA (75 nucleotides) under Sutterella sp. RNAcentral's name for it is "tRNA-Val". It matches the Rfam family "tRNA". Rfam says of the family: Transfer RNA (tRNA) molecules are approximately 80 nucleotides in length. Their secondary structure includes four short double-helical elements and three loops (D, anti-codon, and T loops). Further hydrogen bonds mediate the characteristic L-shaped molecular structure. tRNAs have two regions of fundamental functional importance: the anti-codon, which is responsible for specific mRNA codon recognition, and the 3' end, to which the tRNAs corresponding amino acid is attached (by aminoacyl-tRNA synthetases). tRNAs cope with the degeneracy of the genetic code in two manners: having more than one tRNA (with a specific anti-codon) for a particular amino acid; and 'wobble' base-pairing, i.e. permitting non-standard base-pairing at the 3rd anti-codon position. RNAcentral also lists the same sequence under 1 other name. Lineage: Bacteria; Pseudomonadati; Pseudomonadota; Betaproteobacteria; Burkholderiales; Sutterellaceae. The record is from RNAcentral.
GCGCGGUUAGCUCAGCGGUAGAGCAUCGCCUUCACACGGCGGGGGUCACUGGUUCGAACCCAGUAUCGCGCACCA